This 885-nucleotide ribosomal RNA is filed under the name Coconut lethal yellowing phytoplasma. RNAcentral's name for it is "bacterial SSU rRNA". The stretch from base 1 to 706 matches the Rfam family "Bacterial small subunit ribosomal RNA", at positions 825 to 1533 of the family's 1533-position model. Lineage: Bacteria; Bacillati; Mycoplasmatota; Mollicutes; Acholeplasmatales; Acholeplasmataceae. The record is from RNAcentral.
GGGGUUUCCUCGGUACUGAAGUUAACACAUUAAGUACUCCGCCUGAGUAGUACGUACGCAAGUAUGAAACUUAAAGGAAUUGACGGGAUCCCGCACAAGCGGUGGAUCAUGUUGUUUAAUUCGAAGAUACACGAAAAACCUUACCAGGUCUUGACAUUAUCCUGCGAAGCUAUAGAAAUAUAGGGGAGGUUAUCAGGAUAACAGGUGGUGCAUGGUUGUCGUCAGCUCGUGUCGUGAGAUGUUAGGUUAAGUCCUAAAACGAGCGCAACCCUUGUCGUUAGUUACCAGCACGUUAUGGUGGGGACUUUAGCGAGACUGCCAAUGAAAAAAUUGGAGGAAGGUGAGGAUUACGUCAAAUCAUCAUGCCCCUUAUGAUCUGGGCUACAAACGUGAUACAAUGGCUAUUACAAAGAGCAGCUGAAACGUGAGUUGUUAGCUAAUCUCAAAAAAAUAGUCUCAGUUCGGAUUGAAGUCUGCAACUCGACUUCAUGAAGUUGGAAUCGCUAGUAAUCGCGAAUCAGCAUGUCGCGGUGAAUACGUUCUCGGGGUUUGUACACACCGCCCGUCAAACCAUGAAAGUUGACAAUACCCAAAACCAGUCGCUUAACUACUUCGGUAGAGGGAGCUGUCUAAGGUAGGGUCGAUGAUUGGGGUUAAGUCGUAACAAGGUAUCCCUACCGGAAGGUGGGGAUGGAUCACCUCCUUUCUAAGGAAAUGUCGUAUCAUGAUCAUCUUCAGUUUUGAAAGACUUAGAGUAGAUAAGUUUUUCUUUUGGCGUAGAGGAAGGGCCUAUAGCUCAGUUGGUAGAGCACACGCUUGAUAAGCGUGCGGUCAAUGGUUCAAGUCCAUUUAGGCCCACCAUACCACAUUCUUCUUUAUUCAAAA